AACGAACGCUGGCGGCCUUCCUCACCCAUGCAAGUCGAACGCGCCCUUCGGGUCUAGUUUCGCACGUGUUCGUAACGCGUGGGAACCUGCCCUUAGGUUCGGCAUAACUCCCCGAAAGGGGUGCUAAUACCGGAUAAUGUCUUCGGACCCAAGAUUUAUCGCCUUUGGAUGGGCCCGCGUUGGAUUAGCUAGUUGGUAGGGUAAAAGCCUACCAAGGCGACGAUCCAUAGCUGGGCUGAGAGGAUGAUCCGCCCCCCUGGGACUGAGACACGGCCCAGACUCGUACGGGAGGCAGCAGUGGGGAAUAGUGGAAAGUGGGCGAAAGCAUGAUCCAGCAAGGCCGGGUGAGUGAGGAAGGCAGUAGGGUUGUAAAGCUCUUUUAACCGGGAUGAUAAUGACAGUACCGGGAGAAUAAGCUCCGGCUAACUCCGGG
RNAcentral lists this ribosomal RNA (433 nucleotides) under uncultured bacterium. RNAcentral's name for it is "partial 16S ribosomal RNA". It matches the Rfam family "Bacterial small subunit ribosomal RNA", at positions 29 to 507 of the family's 1533-position model. The record is from RNAcentral.